RNAcentral lists this transfer RNA (73 nucleotides) under Roseivivax halodurans JCM 10272. It matches the Rfam family "tRNA". Rfam says of the family: Transfer RNA (tRNA) molecules are approximately 80 nucleotides in length. Their secondary structure includes four short double-helical elements and three loops (D, anti-codon, and T loops). Lineage: Bacteria; Pseudomonadati; Pseudomonadota; Alphaproteobacteria; Rhodobacterales; Roseobacteraceae. The record is from Rfam by way of RNAcentral.
GCGUCGGUAGCUCAGCUGGUAGAGCACCUGGUUGAAGCCCAGGGUGUCGGUGGUUCAAUCCCAUCCCGUCGCA